Molecule: ribosomal RNA, 380 nt
Filed under: uncultured bacterium
Lineage: Bacteria
Description: bacterial SSU rRNA
Rfam family: Bacterial small subunit ribosomal RNA
Source: RNAcentral
AUUGAACGCUGGCGGCAUGCCUUACACAUGCAAGUCGAACGGCAGCACGGGAGCAAUCCUGGUGGCGAGUGGCGAACGGGUGAGUAAUGUAUCGGAACGUACCUUUCAGUGGGGGAUAACGUAGCGAAGUUACGCUAAUACCGCAUAUUCUGUGAGCAGGAAAGCAGGGGAGUCGCAAGACCUUGCGCUGAUUGAGCGGCCGAUAUCAGAUUAGCUAGUUGGUGAGGUAAAGGCUCACCAAGGCGACGAUCUGUAGCGGGUCUGAGAGGAUGAUCCGCCACACUGGAACUGAGACACGGUCCAGACUCCUACGGGAGGGCAGCAGUGGGGAAUUUUGGACAAUGGGCGCAAGCCUGAUCCAGCCAUGCCGCGUGCAGGAU